CUCUGCUUACCUCUCUCAGCU
This 21-nucleotide microRNA is filed under the name Marchantia polymorpha subsp. ruderalis. The record is from RNAcentral. Lineage: Eukaryota; Viridiplantae; Streptophyta; Marchantiopsida; Marchantiales; Marchantiaceae.